GACGAACGCUGGCGGCGUGCUUAACACAUGCAAGUCGAACGGAAAGGCCCUGCUUUUGUGGGGUGCUCGAGUGGCGAACGGGUGAGUAACACGUGAGUAACCUGCCCUUGACUUUGGGAUAACUUCAGGAAACUGGGGCUAAUACCGGAUAGGAGCUCCUGCUGCAUGGUGGGGGUUGGAAAGUUUCGGCGGUUGGGGAUGGACUCGGGGCUUAUCAGCUUGUUGGUGGGGUAGUGGCUUACCAAGGCUUUGACGGGUGGCCGGCCUGAGAGGGUGACCGGCCACGUUGGGACUGAGAUACGGCCCAGACGCCUACGGGAGGGAGCAGUGGGGAAUAGUGCACAAUGGGCGGAAGCCGGAUGCAGCAACGCCGCGUGCGGGAUGACGGCCUUCGGGUUGUAAACCGCUUUCGCCUGUGGCGAAGCGGGAGUGACGGUAAUGGGUAAAGAAGCACCGGCUAACUACGUG
RNAcentral lists this ribosomal RNA (468 nucleotides) under uncultured bacterium. Its description in RNAcentral is "partial 16S ribosomal RNA". It matches the Rfam family "Bacterial small subunit ribosomal RNA", at positions 28 to 507 of the family's 1533-position model. The record is from RNAcentral.